This 249-nucleotide ribosomal RNA is filed under the name uncultured Acidimicrobiales bacterium. RNAcentral describes it as "partial 16S ribosomal RNA". It matches the Rfam family "Bacterial small subunit ribosomal RNA", at positions 355 to 621 of the family's 1533-position model. Lineage: Bacteria; Bacillati; Actinomycetota; Acidimicrobiia; Acidimicrobiales. The record is from RNAcentral.
UGGGGAAUAUUGCACAAUGGGCGCAAGCCUGAUGCAGCGACGCCGCGUGCGGGAUGACGGCCUUAGGGUUGUAAACCGCUUUCAGCAGGGACGAAAUUGACGGUACCUGCAGAAGAAGCCCCGGCCAACUACGUGCCAGCAGCCGCGGUAAUACGUAGGGGGCAAGCGUUGUCCGGAUUUAUUGGGCGUAAAGAGCUCGUAGGCGGUCUGGUAAGUCGGAUGUGAAAUCUCCACGCUUAACGUGGAGGG